Molecule: ribosomal RNA, 460 nt
Filed under: uncultured bacterium
Lineage: Bacteria
Description: partial 16S ribosomal RNA
Rfam family: Bacterial small subunit ribosomal RNA
Source: RNAcentral
CCUACGGGCGGCAGCAGUGAGGAAUAUUGGUCAAUGGGCGGAAGUCUGAACCAGCCAAGUAGCGUGCAGGAUGACUGCCCUAUGGGUUGUAAACUUCUUUUAUAUGGGAAUAACGCGUUCCACGUGUAGGUCUUUGUAUGUACCGUAUGAAUAAGGAUCGGCUAACUCCGUGCCAGCAGCCGCGGUAAUACGGAGGGUCCGAGCGUUAUCCGGAUUUAUUGGGUUUAAAGGGAGCGUAGGUGGCUUGUUAAGCGAGUUGUGAAAGGUUGCGGCUCAACCGUAAAAUUGCAGUGGAAACUGGCAGGCUUGAGUACAGGAGAGGUGGGCGGAAUUCGUGGUGUAGCGGUGAAAUGCUUAGAUAUGACGAAGAACCCCGAUUGCGAAGGCAGCUCACUGGAGUGGAACUGACGCUGAGGCUCGAAAGCGUGGGUAUCAAACAGGAUUAGAUACCCGUGUAGUC